RNAcentral lists this ribosomal RNA (532 nucleotides) under uncultured archaeon. RNAcentral describes it as "bacterial SSU rRNA". It matches the Rfam family "Archaeal small subunit ribosomal RNA", at positions 327 to 859 of the family's 1478-position model. The record is from RNAcentral.
GGGGCGCAGCAGGCGCGAAACCUCCACAAUGUGAGAAAUCGCGAUGGGGGGAUCCCAAGUGCCAUUCUUAACGGGAUGGCUUUUCAUUAGUGUAAAAAGCUUUUGGAAUAAGAGCUGGGCAAGACCGGUGCCAGCCGCCGCGGUAACACCGGCAGCUCUAGUGGUAGCAAUUUUUAUUGGGCCUAAAGCGUCCGUAGCCGGUUUAAUAAGUCUCUGGUGAAAUCCUGUAGCUUAACUAUGGGAAUUGCUGGAGAUACUAUUAGACUUGAGACCGGGAGAGGUUAGAGGUACUCCCAGGGUAGAGGUGAAAUUCUGUAAUCCUGGGAGGACCGCCUGUUGCGAAGGCGUCUAACUGGAACGGUUCUGACGGUGAGGGACGAAAGUUAGGGGCGCGAACCGGAUUAGAUACCCGGGUAGUCCUAACUGUAAACGAUGCGGACUUGGUGUUGGGGUGGCUUUGAGCUGCUCCAGUGCCGAAGGGAAGCUGUUAAGUCCGCCGCCUGGGAAGUACGGUCGCAAGACUGAAACUUAA